Molecule: long non-coding RNA, 1079 nt
Organism: Paramisgurnus dabryanus
Lineage: Eukaryota; Metazoa; Chordata; Actinopteri; Cypriniformes; Cobitidae
Source: RefSeq, a predicted model, not a curated record
UUGUUUUGGGCGCCAAAAUGAAGACUCAGCAGCAGUCAGUCAGAAGAACUCUCUCAGACGGACACCACGUUAUUAAACUCCAUCAUCCUUUCAUACGCUACACACUCAAAAGCAUUGAUAAAUGCUGAAUUUAAAAGAAUCACUACUGUCUUAUGUUCCUGCGUGUCACCUGGACCUCCAAUCCAAAAACCUGACGAAACUCUUCUAUCAGAAAGGAGGACAGCUAGCAAAAAGACUUCAAACAAUGAAUGAUCAAAUGACAGAAGGCAUGGAUGAAGUCAGCAUCAGUGUGGUCAUUUGAAGACACCACUGUUGGGAUUUGUGCUCUCAAACAACAUGCUUCUUGUGAUGAAGAAGAGGAUCUUUGUAUAGUCCUGGAAGGUAUGAAGGUGUUGCAACAUCGUGCCAUGUUGUUUGAGCUGAUGUAUGCCUUAAACCUGAGCUAUCCUGAUCUCUGCUUUAUUUUUGAAGAAAUCCAAAAGAUUUUAAUGGAACUGCAUUGAGCGUAACUUUAACGAACCGUUUCUUUCAGUGAAAGGAUCAGAAAGACUGUGCUGCUCAUUUAUGUUCUUUUUAUUUAUCUGUUUUAAGUGUUUUCUCUUAUUAAAACAUUAACCGUUUGCUGCUCAGAGUUGAUUUUGGAAAUGGUUGUUGUAUUUUUUUUUGUUGAAUCUUUGAUUAUCAGUUUAUACAAAUGCUGUAGCUCUGACUUUCUGAAGGAUUGAUAUUUUCCAGUUUGUAAAUCCAUUUAAAAAAUAAUAGUACUUACUGUUUUGCAUGUCUCUUUGGAAUGCAGUGUUUGUGCUUUAGCACUUCUAAAUCUACUGUGAUAGUAACUAUUUUAAACACUUGGGUCAGUUUUACAGAUGGGGCUUUUUCUAGUCCCAGACUUUUGCAAUGCCUUAAUUUGAAAACCUAUUGCACUGACAUAUCUUGACAUAUAUCAGUGCCAUUGUUUUGUCUCAAGAUGUACUCCAGUGUUGUUUUUGUAAGGUAGGUUUGUUUGUAAACUUUUUUUUGUAAAAAAUAUCCUAAUAUAACUAGGGCCUAGUCAUGGAUUAAUCUACAACCUGUUUGGG